GCUGAAUUGUGUCCCCCCAAUCCAUAUAUUGAAGCCCUAACCCCUGUAGUGCCUCAGAAUGUGACCAUAUUUGAGACAGGCUCUUUAACAAGGUAAUUAAGGUAAAAGGAGGUUGUUGAAUGACUGAUAUGACUGCUGUACCUGUAGGAAGGGGUGGUUAAGGACACAGAUACAGAGAGAGGGCCGUGGGAGAAUAUGGGGGAAAGGUGGCCGUCUAGGAGCCAAGGGGAGAGGCCUCAGACCCUCUCAAGCCAUCUCAAUUUUGCCCAUACCUCGGUCUCAGAUUACGAGCCUCCAAAACUGAGAAAAAUCAGUCUCUGUUGUCGAAGCCUGCCCAGUCUAUGGUACUUCGUCAUGGCAGCCUCAGUAGACUGAUGGAUGAUCCGUAACAGAUUCAGCUCAAAUCUUCUCUCCUCCGUGAAAGAAUAGAAGGGGGUUGACAAGCUGUGGCCCUUGGGCCAGAUCGGGCUGGUGACCUGUUUUUGUUAAUGAAGUUUUAUUGGCACCCGGCCAUGCCCAUUUGUUCACUUGCUGUGUGUGGCUGGUUUUGUGCUACAAAAGCAGAGCCGAGACAUCACAAUUGAGACAUCGUGACUCAUAAAGCUGAGAAUAUUUACGUCAUUUUACAGAAAUGCAUGCUGAUUCUUGGUCCAGGAGAGUGGUUGGUGGCUCGGGCUGUGCACUCAGACAGGCUUUUAAACUCUUCUGGAUCGAUGCUGGGCUACGUGAUCCCACUCAGCUGGAGAGCUUCUGGGAUGAAUGGGCCAGUUCCAGAGCCACUGCAGAUAGUCUGCAAGGCUGAAAAGCCAAUUAUAGGAUCAUCUCAUCACUGCCUCCCACUUCCAGCUACUGCUGAUGAGCCCAUCGACCUGAAGAUUUUCACUAGCUUUGUGUGGAGGCAGUUCAAUGGGAAGUGAAUUGUCUUCCAACAAAUGGUGUUGGGACAACUGGAUAUUUACAUGCAAAAAUGAACUUCAAUCCCUACCCUAUUUCAUAUACGAAAAUUAAAGUGAAAUAGAUCAUAUGCCUACAUGUAAGAUCUGUCAAUGG
Molecule: long non-coding RNA, 1050 nt
Filed under: Mustela putorius furo (domestic ferret)
Lineage: Eukaryota; Metazoa; Chordata; Mammalia; Carnivora; Mustelidae
Description: lncRNA (ENSMPUG00000029416.1)
Source: RNAcentral